Molecule: long non-coding RNA, 756 nt
Filed under: Anas platyrhynchos platyrhynchos (common mallard)
Lineage: Eukaryota; Metazoa; Chordata; Aves; Anseriformes; Anatidae
Description: lncRNA (ENSAPLG00000019358.1)
Source: RNAcentral
UAUUGCUCUGAAUAGCAACAAGGUGACUGGUUGCCAGCCUGUAAAAUCUGGUAUCGUCCCUGCUGGAGCCAGAGCUUGACCUUAAGAAAAUUCCUGCCAGUUUCUCCGUGGGAGCGUGUCCCUGUGCUGCUGCAGAAGCCUGUCUGCCACAGUGCAGCCUUCUUCCGAAAAAAAGCGAAGGGAGAAGCAUCACGGACCAGCCCCUGCUCUCCGAGGGACACGGACACACGAGGGAGGAGAGAACCAUGUGGAGGGGAUGUUGGAUGGCAGGGACUGGCCCAAGCCAGCCAAAACCCCAAAUAUCUCGUGGUUUCACCUUCCCUGAGAUGGGACGGCGCCUGCUCCUGCAGCCGCAGCCAGCUUAGCCGCGGGAGCGCAGCGAGAAGAGCAGGGAUUGAGAACCAGCUCUGAGGAUCCAUAAAAAUCUCGAGCACGGAAGAGAGAAAAACUCCCUUAAAGCCAGGGCAUAAUCAGAGCUCGCUCUUUGGCCAGGCCGUGCAGCUCUCCCGGGAGCUCCCCGGCUCCACCAGAGCUUUGAGGCGAAGGCAGAGGAGCCGAGCCCGCAGCCACUUGCAGCAGAAGCAGGGAUAAUUCCCUGCACGGGGCCGAGAGCUGAGCCUUGGUCCAGGGAGGGAUUUCUGGGAGUGCUGAGCCUGCAGUUAGCAAAGCAGCAGCCUUCGGUUCAGCUCCACUCGCUCAGGACGGGGAGCAGUCCUUAAAGCCUUCUGGAAGGACACUGAUAUAUUGCUAUAUCAC